Molecule: ribosomal RNA, 546 nt
Filed under: uncultured Acaulospora
Lineage: Eukaryota; Fungi; Glomeromycota; Glomeromycetes; Diversisporales; Acaulosporaceae
Description: SSU rRNA
Rfam family: Eukaryotic small subunit ribosomal RNA
Source: RNAcentral
GGGCAAGUCUGGUGCCAGCAGCCGCGGUAAUUCCAGCUCCAAUAGCGUAUAUUAAAGUUGUUGCAGUUAAAAAGCUCGUAGUUGAAUUUCGGGAUUCGUCGGUUGGUCGGGCUUCACUGUCCGCACUGACCUGACGGGUUCCUACCUUCUGAAUAACCAGCAUGCUAUUAAGUUAGUGCGUUGGGGAAGCAGAGCUAUUACCUUGAAAAAAUUAGAGUGCUUAAAGCAGGCUUGUGCUUAAAUAGAUUAGCAUGGAAUAAUAAAAUAGGACGGCAUGGUUCUAUUUUGUUGGUUUCUAGGAUCACCGUAAUGAUUAAUAGGGAUAGUUGGGGGCAUUAGUAUUCAAUUGUCAGAGGUGAAAUUCUUGGAUUUAUUGAAGACUAACUUCUGCGAAAGCAUUUGCCAAGGAUGUUUUCAUUAAUCAAGAACGAAAGUUAGGGGAUCGAAGACGAUCAGAUACCGUCGUAGUCUUAACCAUAAACUAUGCCGACUAGGGAUCGGACGAUGUUAAUUUUUUAAUGACUCGUUCGGCGCCUUACGGGAAAC